ACACGGACACAACAUUGACUCUGGGGAGGUAGUUCUCGCCUCAAUUCGCUCAUGCAAAGGGCCUGGAACCCACCGGAGGGGCGUGGCGAACAUUCCCCCGGAAGCUCUGGGGUAGGGGGAUGAUGGAAACGAGGCUGGAAGGAAAAUGUUGGGGAGCUUGGUGGAGUCUGGGUUUAGGGCUAGCCCAGGAGGGAACGAGCCUGAACUUCAGGGGGACAUCGAGCGAGGCAGGUGUUCCACCCCACUUUCUUGUUUGAGGGGAGAAGGAAACCAAAGCCAGUAGAAAUGGAAUUUAUGGCCUCCGUGCUCUCAGAGGGAGAAAAAAAUUCUCACUCAUCAGCCUAAAGAGAAACCCUGUCUUAUCCCAGAUUACCACCAUGGGAUUUAAAAUUCAGUGAGAAGACUGCUUGGGAAAUACUGUCUCCGAACUGCCGGUACAGACACUGCCCAUUGGUACAAUAUUUUUAGGUCAUCUGUCAAUUGCCAUGUUUGCAUUUCUUUCAUGCAAUACAAGUUGAAAUCAUAAUGAAUUUCUUGAGUUUCAGGAAUAUCUCAAAAUAAACUUCUUCAUCCUCAACAAA
RNAcentral lists this long non-coding RNA (581 nucleotides) under Homo sapiens (human). RNAcentral's name for it is "HSALNT0340389". Lineage: Eukaryota; Metazoa; Chordata; Mammalia; Primates; Hominidae. The record is from RNAcentral.